CAUCUACUCCCUCCGUCCGGAAAUACUUGUCCUUGAAAUGGUUGUAUCUAGACUUAUUUUAGUUAUAGAUACAUCCAUUUACAACUAUUUUGAAGAAAGUAUUUCCGGACGGAGGGAGUACUAG
This is a non-coding RNA of Triticum urartu, 124 nucleotides long. NCBI's taxonomy places the organism in Eukaryota, Viridiplantae, Streptophyta, Magnoliopsida, Poales, Poaceae. The record is from Rfam.